GACGAACGCUGGCGGCGUGCUUAACACAUGCAAGUCGAACGGUGAAGCGCCUUCCUUUUUGGUGGGUGUGGAUGAGUGGCGAACGGGUGAGUAACACGUGAGUAACCUGCCCCCUUCUUCUGGAUAACCGCAUGAAAGUGUGGCUAAUACGGGAUAUUCUGGGUCUGUCGCAUGAUGGGUCUGGGAAAGAUAUUGUUUCGGUGGGGGAUGGGCUCGCGGCCUAUCAGCUUGUUGGUGGGGUGAUGGCCUACCAAGGCGGUGACGGGUAGCCGGCCUGAGAGGGUGGACGGUCACACGGGGACUGAGACACGGCCCAGACUCCUACGGGAGGCAGCAGUGGGGAAUAUUGCACAAUGGGCGCAAGCCUGAUGCAGCGACGCCGCGUGAGGGAUGGAGGCCUUCGGGUUGUGAACCUCUUUCGCCAGUGAAGCAGGCCUGCCUCGUUUGUGGGUGGGUUGACGGUAGCUGGGUAAGAAGCGCCGGCUAACUACGUG
Molecule: ribosomal RNA, 494 nt
Filed under: uncultured bacterium
Lineage: Bacteria
Description: partial 16S ribosomal RNA
Rfam family: Bacterial small subunit ribosomal RNA
Source: RNAcentral